UAGGGAAUCUUCGGCAAUGGACGAAAGUCUGACCGAGCAACGCCGCGUGAGUGAAGAAGGUUUUCGGAUCGUAAAACUCUGUUGUUAGAGAAGAACAAGGACGUUAGUAACUGAACGUCCCCUGACGGUAUCUAACCAGAAAGCCACGGCUAACUACGUGCCAGCAGCCGCGGUAAUACGUAGGUGGCAAGCGUUGUCCGGAUUUAUUGGGCGUAAAGCGAGCGCAGGCGGUGUCUUAAGUCUGAUGUGAAAGCCCCCGGCUCAACCGGGGAGGGUCAUUGGAAACUGGGAGACUUGAGUGCAGAAGAGGAGAGUGGAAUUCCAUGUGUAGCGGUGAAAUGCGUAGAUAUAUGGAGGAACACCAGUGGCGAAGGCGGCUCUCUGGUCUGUAACUGACGCUGAGGCUCGAAAGCGUGGGGAGCAAACAGG
This 429-nucleotide ribosomal RNA is filed under the name Gemmatimonadota bacterium. RNAcentral's name for it is "Gemmatimonadetes bacterium partial 16S ribosomal RNA". It matches the Rfam family "Bacterial small subunit ribosomal RNA", at positions 355 to 776 of the family's 1533-position model. The record is from RNAcentral. Lineage: Bacteria; Pseudomonadati; Gemmatimonadota.